GAGUCAUAUGAUGCCUCAGAUAAUGAGGCUAGGGAGAUCAUAGAGGAGUCCACGAUAGAGGUGGACCCAGAACACCUUGGCUUGUCAUCUUUCCUAAACCCAGAACAGAGAUAUGCAUAUGACGAGAUACUUGCGGCCAUCAAUAGUGGCCAAGGAGGUGUGUUCUUUGUUGAUGGACCCGGAGGCACAGGGAAGACUUAUCUGUACAAAGCACUACUUGCAAAAGUACGUGCUGAGGGUAAAAUAGCUAUUGCAACAGCAACAUCAGGCGUUGCUGCAUCCAUCUUGCCUGGAGGGAGGACUGCACACUCAAGGUUUAAAAUAACAUUGAACACCGAAGACAAUGGGGUCUGCAGUUUCACCAGCAAAGUGGGACAGCUAAGCUUCUUAUGA
This 393-nucleotide ribosomal RNA is filed under the name Triticum aestivum (bread wheat). RNAcentral's name for it is "partial small subunit ribosomal RNA". Lineage: Eukaryota; Viridiplantae; Streptophyta; Magnoliopsida; Poales; Poaceae. The record is from RNAcentral.